Molecule: long non-coding RNA, 289 nt
Organism: Sebastes umbrosus (honeycomb rockfish)
Lineage: Eukaryota; Metazoa; Chordata; Actinopteri; Perciformes; Sebastidae
Exons: 3
Source: RefSeq, a predicted model, not a curated record
CGUUACUAAACUAGCGCUCCAAGCGCACUACUCUAGCGCUCCAAGCGCAGCGUUCCAAACGCUUUUCUAACGUCCCAGACGUUACUAAAAGGGCAACUUUCCUCCUUUUAGUUUUCAAACAGUAGUGAUAUCAGAGUAAUUGGGUCGUUAUGCCCCCACCACAGAUCCCACCAACACAAGCUUCUACUAACGGUUCUCCCGUCAGCGGUGCUGGCCCGGUAUCUGAGGCAGUUUAAAUUCCUCUGAUGUACACUAUCAAUACAGUUUAUUAGUAUUAUACACACAAUUA